GGAGGGGUGCCAGAGUGGUUGAAUGGGACGGUCUCGAAAACCGUUGUAGCGCACCGCGUUACCGUGGGUUCGAAUCCCACCCCCUCCGCCA
This 91-nucleotide transfer RNA is filed under the name Chloroflexota bacterium. RNAcentral describes it as "Chloroflexi bacterium (groundwater metagenome) tRNA-Ser". It matches the Rfam family "tRNA". Rfam says of the family: Transfer RNA (tRNA) molecules are approximately 80 nucleotides in length. Their secondary structure includes four short double-helical elements and three loops (D, anti-codon, and T loops). Further hydrogen bonds mediate the characteristic L-shaped molecular structure. tRNAs have two regions of fundamental functional importance: the anti-codon, which is responsible for specific mRNA codon recognition, and the 3' end, to which the tRNAs corresponding amino acid is attached (by aminoacyl-tRNA synthetases). tRNAs cope with the degeneracy of the genetic code in two manners: having more than one tRNA (with a specific anti-codon) for a particular amino acid; and 'wobble' base-pairing, i.e. permitting non-standard base-pairing at the 3rd anti-codon position. The record is from RNAcentral. Lineage: Bacteria; Bacillati; Chloroflexota.